UUGUCCUUAGUUGCUACCGGAUAAUGCCGGGCACUCUAAGGAGACUGCCUACGCAAGUAGUGAGGAAGGUGGGGAUGACGUCAAGUCCGCAUGGCCCUUACGCCCAGGGCCACACACGUGCUACAAUGGCUACUACAAAGAGCUGCUAAACCGCAAGGUCAUGCCAAUCUCUAAAAAGUAGUCUCAGUUCGGAUUGGAGUCUGAAACUCGACUCCAUGAAGCUGGAAUUGCUAGUAAUCGCGGAUCAGCACGCCGCGGUGAAUACGUUCCCGGGCCUU
This 278-nucleotide ribosomal RNA is filed under the name uncultured bacterium. RNAcentral describes it as "partial 16S ribosomal RNA". It matches the Rfam family "Bacterial small subunit ribosomal RNA", at positions 1105 to 1382 of the family's 1533-position model. The record is from RNAcentral.